UGAGUAAUGUCUGGGAAACUGCCUGAUGAGGGGGAUAACUACUGGAAACGGUAGCUAAUACCGCAUAACGUCGCAAGACCAANAGGGGGACCUUCGGGCCUCUUGCCAUCAGAUGUGCCCAGAUGGGAUUAGCUAGUAGGUGGGGUAACGGCUCACCUAGGCGACGAUCCCUAGCUGGUCUGAGAGGAUGACCAGCCACACUGGAACUGAGACACGGUCCAGACUCCUACGGGAGGCAGCAUG
Molecule: ribosomal RNA, 243 nt
Filed under: uncultured bacterium
Lineage: Bacteria
Description: partial 16S ribosomal RNA
Rfam family: Bacterial small subunit ribosomal RNA
Source: RNAcentral